GCCAAAGUCUAUGGAUAGUCGUGAUCCCAAAACGUAACACGAGGAAGAGGAUUGAGGAACCUCUUAACAAUCAAGGCUACGGUUGAUUACUGCAUCUAAGAAGGUGAAUUCAAGAAGAACCAACCGGUUAUUCUCUUCCAGUCAUCGGUUGUCUACACGGCCCUCCUACCCAGACCUGGGAGCGUCGACACAGUUGAUUAGCCUCCUCAGACGUCCACUCUCACAGAACGAAUGCAAGGGAACAGACCACUAAGAGAAAAGGACACUGUCAUUGUGUGGACAAUCAGAGACCUACACCCUGUAAUGAAGGAGACGCAGCCAUAGAAGAAAAUUUGUCAACCGAACCUGUAACCUCUGCUUCCAACUCACACUCUCAAACAUGUAGAUCCCUUGAACGCAGGUCACUUUCCAGCUCACAUUCUCAAACACCUAGAUCCCCUGAACGCAGCUCACUCUCCAGAUCCCAAUCACCUGAAUUCUGAUCACAUGUUCACUCACCUUAGGCUGUUGGCACCUCCCUGGAAAAAACACGAGCCUCCCCUUGGAAAUCCAAUGGUCGUCCAACUGAUUCGCUCUGGCGCCAGGCCUGAAGAAAGGAAGUAUUUCCAAGUAAAGCCUAUCGGAUUUCCUGUUAUCUACCUAUUGCCUGAUCUCCCGGAUGACGUUACUAGCCUUUUCCCGGCCUGUACUGUUGCCUUUUUUGGACCCCUGUGUAUGACCUUCUGCCUUCCCCUGGACCCAGCUACCUGCCUCCUCCUGUGCUCCUUUACAAUAAACACCUGCUGCGCCCUGUGAUUGAAAUCAGCUCUCUGUCUUCCAUCGUGUUCAUUACAGGUGGUGACAGUGGUCUGACUGACAAUUUUAUCAGGAAGAGAACUUGCCAUGUCAAGCUCUUUCCAAAAGCCUAAUUUCUGACGAAGCAAGCUAAUAAUACAUUGUUUGUUUAGCUAGCUAGCUAGAU
RNAcentral lists this long non-coding RNA (961 nucleotides) under Salmo salar (Atlantic salmon). RNAcentral describes it as "lncRNA (ENSSSAG00000115409.1)". The record is from RNAcentral. Lineage: Eukaryota; Metazoa; Chordata; Actinopteri; Salmoniformes; Salmonidae.